GACGGAGGAUGCAAGUGUUAUCCGGAAUCACUGGGCGUAAAGCGUGCGUAGAUGGUUUGUUAAGUCUGUUGUGAAAGCCCCGGGCUCAACCUGGGAAUGGCAAUGGAUACUGGCAGGCUAGAGUGCGGUAGAGGGUAGUGGAAUUCCCGGUGUAGCGGUGAAAUGCGUAGAUAUCAGGAGGAAUACCGAUGGCGAAGGCAGGUCUCUGGGCUGACACUGACGCUCAUGCACGAAAGGCGUGGGGAGCAA
RNAcentral lists this ribosomal RNA (249 nucleotides) under uncultured bacterium. Its description in RNAcentral is "partial 16S ribosomal RNA". It matches the Rfam family "Bacterial small subunit ribosomal RNA", at positions 524 to 771 of the family's 1533-position model. The record is from RNAcentral.